This 596-nucleotide ribosomal RNA is filed under the name Riemerella anatipestifer. Its description in RNAcentral is "bacterial SSU rRNA". It matches the Rfam family "Bacterial small subunit ribosomal RNA", at positions 633 to 1236 of the family's 1533-position model. The record is from RNAcentral. Lineage: Bacteria; Pseudomonadati; Bacteroidota; Flavobacteriia; Flavobacteriales; Weeksellaceae.
CUGCUAGUCUUGAGUAUAGUUGAGGUAGCUGGAAUGAGUAGUGUAGCGGUGAAAUGCAUAGAUAUUACUCAGAACACCGAUUGCGAAGGCAGGUUACCAAGUUAUAACUGACGCUGAGGGACGAAAGCGUGGGGAGCGAACAGGAUUAGAUACCCUGGUAGUCCACGCCGUAAACGAUGCUAACUCGUUUUUGGGCUUUAGGGUUCAGAGACUAAGCGAAAGUGAUAAGUUAGCCACCUGGGGAGUACGACCGCAAGGUUGAAACUCAAAGGAAUUGACGGGGGCCCGCACAAGCGGUGGAUCAUGUGGUUUAAUUCGAUGAUACGCGAGGAACCUUACCAAGGCUUAAAUGGGAAUUGACAGCUGUAGAAAUACGGUUUUCUUCGGACAAUUUUCAAGGUGCUGCAUGGUUGUCGUCAGCUCGUGCCGUGAGGUGUUAGGUUAAGUCCUGCAACGAGCGCAACCCCUGUCACUAGUUGCCAUCAUUAAGUUGGGGACUCUAGUGAGACUGCCUACGCAAGUAGCGAGGAAGGUGGGGAUGACGUCAAAUCAUCACGGCCCUUACGCCUUGGGCCACACACGUGAUACAAUGGCCG